Molecule: long non-coding RNA, 635 nt
Organism: Arachis stenosperma
Lineage: Eukaryota; Viridiplantae; Streptophyta; Magnoliopsida; Fabales; Fabaceae
Exons: 5
Source: RefSeq, a predicted model, not a curated record
AAGCAGCGUAGAUGCAGGGAAAAGAAGAGAAGGGUACGAAACCCUUGUUUCAAUUUUCGAACGCCGUAACUUUUCCGUUCGAGCUCCAAUCGCCGUACCGUUCACGGCCACACGUCCAGCGCGUCGAGCUCUACAUUUUUGUCGGAUCAAUUUCACCGUGUUCUAGGUUCGAUUUAGCUUGCGGAGCUUAUUGGGUUUGAGUUGCUACGCGUAUAGGUGUGGUGUGAAUUAAGUUUAUAUACAUGCAUUGGAAUUGAGAAGUGAGCAUUUGGAGGCUUGGGGGUGAUUGAAGCUAAGCUUGUGGCUGGUUACUCUAAGCUUGAGGGGAUGUGUUGUAGCUUGUGAGGCUGCCUUGGAUUAAAUAAAGUGAUCGGUCAAGGUAACAGAAUCGUAGCUCACCACAACGUGUUCCAGGUUGAAUCUCGAUAAUCUGUUGACCCUACGUCGUAAGGGUGACCGGGCACGUAUAAAUUCUCGGAUGCAGGUCGAGAGGCUCCUCGCUAGGCGUCUGGAUUCCUGAAGCGGAGUAGUCCCUGGGAUAUUUUGGUUUAUCAGCUUAUGUAUAAUUGUACUUAAUUACUUAACUUUGUCUCCAAGAAACUUGAUUAUUUUGUUCCUCUUAGAGAUUACAGGAG